Molecule: small RNA, 28 nt
Filed under: Bombyx mori (domestic silkworm)
Lineage: Eukaryota; Metazoa; Arthropoda; Insecta; Lepidoptera; Bombycidae
Description: ovarian small RNA-14137
Source: RNAcentral
CGAAGUCCAUGGGCGACGAUAGCCACUC